Molecule: unclassified non-coding RNA, 420 nt
Filed under: Hevea brasiliensis (rubber tree)
Lineage: Eukaryota; Viridiplantae; Streptophyta; Magnoliopsida; Malpighiales; Euphorbiaceae
Source: RNAcentral
AUAAGCAAAAAAUUGGAAAUGAGAAGUAACUUAUUCACAGGCUGAUACUCCUUCCACCUUCUUUACAAGUGAGAAAAUUAGAUAAAUUUCUCUGUUAGAUUUUUUUUUUUAAUUUGUAUAAAACUAGGAUAAAUCAGCAAAGCGAGCAAUUCUUCUACAUCUAACUAUCUGCAAUUAAUAAUAGAAAAAAAAACAGUAUCAAACAAUCAAAUAUCAGUUCCAUCCAAUUUCUUUUCUUUCCCCAAAUAUUCACAACUAAUGAAUCACAAAAGGUUCUCCAAAUUCUGCCUUGAAAUGCACCAUUAUAAUCCCCCACGAAAGCUUAAAUUUUACCAUAUACCAAUUAUCAAUAGCUCAGCUCAGAAUCACCAAAUAGCAACGAUAAAAAUGACGCACCAUUGCAGUAAGAAAGCGCAUCAA